Molecule: transfer RNA, 73 nt
Filed under: Stegodyphus mimosarum
Lineage: Eukaryota; Metazoa; Arthropoda; Arachnida; Araneae; Eresidae
Rfam family: tRNA
About the family: Transfer RNA (tRNA) molecules are approximately 80 nucleotides in length. Their secondary structure includes four short double-helical elements and three loops (D, anti-codon, and T loops).
Source: Rfam by way of RNAcentral
GCCUUCGUGGUGUAGUGGUCAGCACACUCGGCGCGUAUUCGAGAGGUCCGUGGUUCGAGUCCCGGCGGAGGCA